Non-coding RNA from Pelobates cultripes (western spadefoot toad), 419 nucleotides. The record is from the annotation of a GenBank genome assembly. NCBI's taxonomy places the organism in Eukaryota, Metazoa, Chordata, Amphibia, Anura, Pelobatidae.
AAUAUCGUUUGGUGAAAUAUUUAAUAAAAAGCUGUGGCCUAUUUUCACCAACUAUGUCUCAUGUCACAUUAUUGUAAAGGGGGUAUAAUAAAAGGGGGAACUACACACAACUCCCCACUACGUCCACACAAGUGGCCUACAUGACCAAACUAAGUUAGAGGGAGUCACAGCAUCAUCUAUCCCAAACCCAGAAGAUAUGAUGAUGGAAAUAAAAGGUUAAUGUGAUACACACAGAACUUAUGGACCUGCCGUCGAUGUUAUCUCAGUUACCCUCCAUUUCACCAGUAAAUGUAUUUGCUAUUUUACAAUCCACACCCAAAUAUCACAGAUACAUCAUGUGGGGGAUCCCAUGCUAGCAUGUAGAGACAUUUGAAUGUAAAAAGAAAAGAAAUUGUCAUUCCGGCUCUGCACUCCUACAG